RNAcentral lists this ribosomal RNA (90 nucleotides) under Triticum aestivum (bread wheat). RNAcentral's name for it is "partial small subunit ribosomal RNA". The record is from RNAcentral. Lineage: Eukaryota; Viridiplantae; Streptophyta; Magnoliopsida; Poales; Poaceae.
AUGUCAAAUGCAGUCUUCUUCUUCUUGGGCUUCCGGGUCAUUCUCCUGGCGGCUAUGGUAGUAGCUCUAGCCUUCUUGGCAGCUUCAUGA